GAGAUAACCGGUGCUGUUUUCAAU
This 24-nucleotide non-coding RNA is filed under the name Arabidopsis thaliana (thale cress). The record is from RNAcentral. Lineage: Eukaryota; Viridiplantae; Streptophyta; Magnoliopsida; Brassicales; Brassicaceae.